GACGAACGCUGGCGGCGUGCUUAACACAUGCAAGUCGAACGGUAAGGCUCCAGCUUGCUGGGGUACACGAGUGGCGAACGGGUGAGUAACACGUGGGUGACCUGCCCUGCACUUCGGGAUAAGCCUGGGAAACUGGGUCUAAUACCGGAUAGGACCGCACCGUGAGGGUGUGGUGGAAAGUUUUUUCGGUGUGGGAUGGGCCCGCGGCCUAUCAGCUUGUUGGUGGGGUAAUGGCCUACCAAGGCGGCGACGGGUAGCCGGCCUGAGAGGGUGGACGGCCACAUUGGGACUGAGACACGGCCCAGACUCCUACGGGAGGCAGCAGUGGGGAAUAUUGCACAAUGGGCGGAAGCCUGAUGCAGCGACGCCGCGUGGGGGAUGACGGCCUUCGGGUUGUAAACUCCUUUCACCAUCGACGAAGGGUUUCUGACGGUAGAUGGAGAAGAAGCACCGGCUAACUACGUGCCAGCAGCCGCGGUAAUACGUAGGGUGCGAGCGUUGUCCGGAAUUACUGGGCGUAAAGAGCUCGUAGGUGGUUUGUCGCGUCGUCUGUGAAAUUCCGGGGCUUAACUCCGGGCGUGCAGGCGAUACGGGCAUAACUUGAGUACUGUAGGGGAGACUGGAAUUCCUGGUGUAGCGGUGAAAUGCGCAGAUAUCAGGAGGAACACCGGUGGCGAAGGCGGGUCUCUGGGCAGUAACUGACGCUGAGGAGCGAAGGCAUGGGGAGCGAACAGGAUUAGAUACCCUGGUAGUCCAUGCCGUAAACGGUGGGCGCUAGGUGUGGGUUUCCUUCCACGGGAUCCGUGCCGUAGCUAACGCAUUAAGCGCCCCGCCUGGGGAGUACGGCCGCAAGGCUAAAACUCAAAGGAAUUGACGGGGGCCCGCACAAGCGGCGGAGCAUGUGGAUUAAUUCGAUGCAACGCGAAGAACCUUACCUGGGCUUGACAUAUACAGGAUCGCGCCAGAGAUGGUGUUUCCCUUGUGGCUUGUAUACAGGUGGUGCAUGGUUGUCGUCAGCUCGUGUCGUGAGAUGUUGGGUUAAGUCCCGCAACGAGCGCAACCCUUGUCUUAUGUUGCCAGCACGUUGUGGUGGGGACUCGUAAGAAACUGCCGGGGUUAACUCGGAGGAAGGUGGGGAUGACGUCAAAUCAUCAUGCCCCUUAUGUCCAGGGCUUCACACAUGCUACAAUGGUCGGUACAGUGGGUUGCCAGUCCGUGAGGGCGAGCUAAUCCCGCAAAGCCGGUCUCAGUUCGGAUCGGGGUCUGCAACUCGACCCCGUGAAGUCGGAGUCGCUAGUAAUCGCAGAUCAGUAACGCUGCGGUGAAUACGUUCCCGGGCCU
RNAcentral lists this ribosomal RNA (1341 nucleotides) under uncultured bacterium. Its description in RNAcentral is "partial 16S ribosomal RNA". It matches the Rfam family "Bacterial small subunit ribosomal RNA", at positions 28 to 1381 of the family's 1533-position model. The record is from RNAcentral.